CCUUCAUGGCCAUGCUUUUUGAAGGACUUGGAUUGAUCAGCUGUCAACAAGGAAGGGUCAUGGGGACAAGUCACAAGUGGCAUCGUGAUGUGAUGUCUCUAUGGGGAAUUGAACUUAGAGCUGUAGCCUUUCUCUGGAACAUGCAUUUUACCUUCCGUGCGUAGAUUCUGUGCACUGGAUUAGAAGUCCUUAACAGUAUUUCUCCAGAAAUGACCCCAGUCUUGCAGAAGCUGACCUUGAGAAUCUGUAGAGGUGACUUGGACUUGAGUUAUCAAGGUGGUAGAGUGUGGCGGUGAAGCAUGUGGGUCAACUCCUAACUCUACUACUAACUAGGAUGGCUAACCUGGCAAGGUCCGUACUGUUUUGUACCUCCAUGUUCUCAUCUUCUUAUUGGGGAUGAUGAUGGUAAAACAUGCUUUACAGGUUUAUUGGGAAGAUUAAACAAGUUAAUAGCAGAGUGUGAAGAACACUGCCUGACAUGUGGUGUACACCAACCUGGGCUAGUUAGUGAUGCCAUCGAAGUGGCUGUGACAGUUCCAAACAGCAAUAGAACCACGUACUGGAGUUCCAGUGUCACACACUUGCCUUUUAAAAGCUGCCUAAUGUUUUCCCCGGUCAUCUUCAGAGACACUCAGAGUCAGGUCCAUGUAUACACAUUCCUUCCUUUGUGCUAUAUCAGAAAGAAAGGAGUUGGGUAUGGUUCCAAAUGAGGGGGAGGAAGCAAAGGAGAUAAAGUUUUCUGUGUAGACAAGUCAGCUCUUCUAAAUGGUCUGUCUGAUCCUAAGAAGAGCAGCUGUUCCAUCUCCACAGGACCAGCCCUUGAUCCCUCCCACCAAAGUUUGCGGGGGAAUCCUGGUCAUGCUUUUUGACUUUGCUUGUAGGUUCUGCUCAGCCUCACUCUCACCUGCCCCGAUGUCUCUUCACACUCCUCCUGACGGUUUCUGGAUGGCCUUUCCAAUGCUUUUUUGGGUGAAUGGUUUAAUCUAAGUAUAACAUACAUGGAGAACAAUGCAUGCAUCAUGCUGAAUUAUUACAGUCAGCACAUGAAACCCAGAUAAAGACUUUGAGCAAUACCAGCACCCAAUAUACUCCCUUUGUGUCUCCUCCGAAGCAUCACCUCCUCCAAAGGUAGCCACCAGUCUCCUUUCCCUUACAACAGACUAUUUUUUUGCCAAUUUUAUUACACUUUGGAUAAAUGGAACCACACAGUAUUUAGUCUUUUUGUUUGUUUGGGCAGUGCCUGUGGCAUGUAGAAGUUCCUGGACCAGGGAUUGAACCUGUGAUAAUGCCAGAUCCUUGAUCUGCUGAGCCACCAGGGAACUCUCAGUUUGUAGUCUUUUGGGCUUAGCUUCUUUUUUUUUUCCCCUCUCUUGUUAGGGCUGCACCCACAGCAUAUGAAAGUUCCUGGCCUAGUGGUUGAAUUGAAGCUGCAGCUGCCAGCCUGUGCUGCAGCCACAGCAAUGACAGAUCUGAGCCAUAUCUGUGACCUCCACCACAGCCUACAGCAAUGCUGGAUCCUAACCCACUGAACGAAGCCAGGGAUCGAACCUGCAUCCUCAUGGAUACUAUGUCAGUUUCUUAACCUUCUGAGCCACAGUGGGAACCCCUGAGCUAGGCUCCUUUUGCUUAGUAUUCCUUCUAUGAGAUUCCUCUGUGUUGUGGUUUUUUUCUUUUCCAUCACUGUAGAGCUCUAUUGUAAAAAUAUAUUCAUGAAUUUUAUUUAUUCAUCCAUUCUCCCUUUAUAGAUAUCUGAGUUGUUUUCAGUUUUGGACUAUUAUGAAUAAUGGUGCCAUGAACAUGUCUUUUGGCAAAUUAUGUUGUCAUACCUAUGCAGCUAGGUACAGAAUUGAUGGGUCAAAUAUAUACUGAUGCUCAACCUCAGUGAAUAUUGCCUAACAGUUGCCUAAAUGGUUGAACACUGCCAUUUUUUAACAGAGUUUUUUGAAUGUUAAUCUGAAUGAGUUCUUCAUAUAUUUUGAAUAUUAAUCCCUUAUCAACUAUAUCAUUUGCAGAUAUCUUCUCCCAUUUAGUAGGCAGCCUUGUCAUUUUGACGGUAGUCUCUGUCACUGUGCAAAAGAUUUUUAGUUUGAUGUAGUCCCAUUCGUUUAUUUUUGCUUUUGUUGCCUUGCCUGAGGAGACAUAUCCAAAAAAUUAUCGCUAAGAGUGAGGUCUAAGACUGUUCUGCCUAUGUUUUCUUCUAAAAAUUUUAUGGUUUCAGGUCUUACAUUUAAGUCUUUAAUCCAUUUGGAGGUUAUUUUUGUAUAUAGUGUGAGAAAGGGGUCCAAUUUUACCCUUUUACAUGUAGCUGUCCAAUUUUCCCAACACCGUUUAAUUGAAGAGGCCAUCUUCCCCAUUGUCCACACCAAGACACACUGUAAUUAAAAUGGUGAUCAUUAAAGAUAAAGAGAAACAAGGGAAAAAAUGCUUACGUGGAGACUAAACAACAUGCUACUAAAAAAAGGGGGGGGGGCAGUGAUGAAUUCAAAGAGGAAAUAAAGAAUCAUUAAAGCAGCAAGGGAAAAGCAACUUAUUAUGUACAAGGAAACUCCCAUCAGACUGUUGGCUGACUGUUCAGUAGAAAUUUUGCAGACCAUAAGGGAAUGGCAGAAUAUGGGUGGGUAAACCCAUGGUCUUAAUAGGCUAGAGGAAGAACCCAAAGUGGCACUUGCCAGCACCAGUGUCCUUGUAGAAUGAGCUCCCCAAAAUGGCUGCUGUAAGCAUCUAGGUCCCCGUGAGGAGUCCCCCUUGCCUCCCACCUUUCUAAGAGGUUCUCCAAGAUUAGCAAGUGGGUUUAACCCAGGUUUCUUUCAAAAUACUGCUUCUGUGCUGGGUCUUGGAGUAUAUGAAAUUUUGUAUGAGCUCUUUAAGAGCAGAGGCUCUGUUUCCUACAGCCCUCAGGCUCUCCCAUGUGGAAGCCCCACUGACCUUCAAAGUCAGACGAUCUGAAGGCUCACCUUCCUGGUGCAGACCUAGGGUCUGGAAAGCCUGAUGUGGGGCUCAGACCCCUUGCUCUUUGGGAAAAAACUCUGAAAUUAUGAUUAUCCUCUCAUUUGCAGGUCACCUAUCCAAGGGUAUACCACUAAGGGUGUUAUACUGCAUCUCCACCCCUCCUACUUAUCUCGCUGUGGUUCCUUCUUUAUAUCUUUAAUUAUGGAAAAUACUUUCAUCUAGUCUUCAGGAUUUUCUCAUCAAUAGUUGUUCUGUAAAUUGUUGUAAUUUUGGAGUGCCCAUGCGAGGAGGUGAGCUCAGUUUCUUCUUACUCCACCAUCUUGGCUAUUCCCCUGAAAUGGAACUGAUUUUUGAACAUUGUGUAUCAUGUACCUUGCUGACUUGUUUAUUUGUUGCAAUAGAUUUUUUAGUUGUUGUAUAUAUAAUAUAUAUAUAUAUAUAUUAGGAAUCCUAAACAAUCUAUAUAUGAAUAUAUAUAUGAAUAAUUAUGUCACUUGCAAAUUGAAAUAAUUUUACUUCUUUCCGAUUAGAUAUCUUCUAUUUCUUUUCUUCAUGCUGCAAGCCUUUUAUUAACUUCCAGAAAUCUGAAAAAGUUGAUUUGGAGAAAUUUUGCCAGUUUUUUUUAUUGCUUCUUUGGAGGGGCAAAUUUUUGGAAGUAUUUACUCCAGUACUUUUGCUGAUAUCACUUUAGUCUUUUAAUUGGAACUUUUGUUUUAUUUCCAUUUUAUGUAAUUAUGUCACAUGUUAUAAUUUGUUUUUAAUUUGUAAUCUGUUUUAUGUUUCUUUUUCUCUCCUUUCUUGCUUGCUUUUGUAUUAAUAAAAUAAUUUUAUUGUCCA
This 3786-nucleotide long non-coding RNA is filed under the name Sus scrofa (pig). RNAcentral's name for it is "lncRNA (ENSSSCG00005030170.1, ENSSSCG00165014147.1)". Lineage: Eukaryota; Metazoa; Chordata; Mammalia; Artiodactyla; Suidae. The record is from RNAcentral.